GCAGCUAUCAAGGAAGGAGUGCUCUGCUGCAGAAGAGAGGAGAAGUCUGCUGAAGGAGCAGCACAUGACUCGGCUGUGGGAUGAAGAACCCCAGCACCUGUGAACAGCACUGUCUACAUGUAGAAAAGACCUUGCAUCAUCAGUGUGCCGCUGGCAUUGCCUUUCCUACUGCCUCGGGGAUUAUCCACUGGAAGUUGGAUGUACAUAGUGAAUAAGUAAGACACAGGACUGAGCCCGCCACAGCUCCCAUUUUGGGGGAACUUGAGGACCACCCAGUAGUUCAAGGCUGGCUGCUGGCCAGAAUAUCUAUGUACUUGCUAUCCUCUUUCUUCCUAGUUGCUGUAGCUAAAUCAAGCCUGACUUCACUCAGAAGCUCUGUGUGGAAGAAAGUGAUGCCAGUAUAACAACGUAACUGGCUGCAGGAUUUUAUCUCACAAAAUGGUCAGAAAUCGCCUCAAAGCAGCAUGUUCAGCUGGAAUGCCAAUUUACAGAAUCAUGUUUCAAUAUUAUAUCACUGAACCCUGCACUGAAACCACUAGGAGGCAUUAUUUUUUCACUGGGGCUUGGACAGACUACGUAAUAUCCAUGCUAGAUGGCUCGGCUCCAAGCACUUUGUCCUCUUUCUGCUAUUGUAUACAGCAAUAAUUUCUUAAUUAAUAUGUAUUUAAAGGGGAGGAGGAGACUACAAACAAUACUUAUUCCCUACCUGGGGCUUUCUCAAAGACCGUUUUGAAUGGAUACAAAAUCCCAUGGCUUUGAUCUGACUCCUCUUUACUUUUUGAUUUUGAUAUAGGGGGACUAGAACACUUUCUAUGUGAGCGUAACAGUCAAACUAUGUUGAGUCCUGAUACUGGCAUAGUAUUUCCAGCAUGGGCACCUCAAACUGGCUGGAUUAUACCCAGCAGAAAUCUUCAGGAAUUAUCCUCUUCCCUCAUAUAUAUCUAGUUGUAUAACUAAAAUCACAACCAAAAAUAAAGUAGAUUUUUUUUUUAUUAUUA
Long non-coding RNA from Alligator mississippiensis (American alligator), 998 nucleotides. RefSeq lists it as uncharacterized. The transcript has 2 exons. The record is from RefSeq and is a predicted model, not a curated record. Lineage: Eukaryota; Metazoa; Chordata; Crocodylia; Alligatoridae.